Molecule: ribosomal RNA, 161 nt
Filed under: Amanita suballiacea
Lineage: Eukaryota; Fungi; Basidiomycota; Agaricomycetes; Agaricales; Amanitaceae
Also listed under: 1 other name
Description: 5.8S ribosomal RNA
Rfam family: 5.8S ribosomal RNA
About the family: 5.8S ribosomal RNA (5.8S rRNA) is a component of the large subunit of the eukaryotic ribosome. It is transcribed by RNA polymerase I as part of the 45S precursor that also contains 18S and 28S rRNA.
Source: RNAcentral
ACAACUUUCAACAACGGAUCUCUUGGCUCUCGCAUCGAUGAAGAACGCAGCGAAAUGCGAUAAGUAAUGUGAAUUGCAGAAUUCAGUGAAUCAUCGAAUCUUUGAACGCACCUUGCACUCCUUGGCAUUCCAAGGAGCAUGCCUGUUUGAGUGUCAUUAAA